AAUAGAUACCCGGGUAGUCCAUGCCGUAAACGUUGGGCGCUAGAUGUGGGGACCAUUCCACGGUUUCCGUGUCGCAGCUAACGCAUUAAGCGCCCCGCCUGGGGAGUACGGCCGCAAGGCUAAAACUCAAAGGAAUUGACGGGGGCCCGCACAAGCGGCGGAGCAUGCGGAUUAAUUCGAUGCAACGCGAAGAACCUUACCAAGGCUUGACAUAUACGAGAACGCUCUAGAAAUAGAGAACUCUUUGGACACUCGUAUACAGGUGGUGCAUGGUUGUCGUCAGCUCGUGUCGUGAGAUGUUGGGUUAAGUCCCGCAACGAGCGCAACCCUCGUUCUAUGUUGCCAGCGGUUCGGCCGGGAACUCAUAGGAGACUGCCGGGGUCAACUCGGAGGAAGGUGGGGAUGACGUCAAAUCAUCAUGCCCCUUAUGUCUUGGGCUUCACGCAUGCUACAAUGGCCGGUACAAAGGGCUGCAAUACCGUAAGGUGGAGCGAAUCCCAAAAAGCCGGUCUCAGUUCGGAUUGAGGUCUGC
RNAcentral lists this ribosomal RNA (532 nucleotides) under uncultured bacterium. RNAcentral describes it as "bacterial SSU rRNA". It matches the Rfam family "Bacterial small subunit ribosomal RNA", at positions 777 to 1308 of the family's 1533-position model. The record is from RNAcentral.